This is a long non-coding RNA of Corylus avellana, 468 nucleotides long. RefSeq lists it as uncharacterized. The record is from RefSeq and is a predicted model, not a curated record. NCBI's taxonomy places the organism in Eukaryota, Viridiplantae, Streptophyta, Magnoliopsida, Fagales, Betulaceae.
UGACUAUUUAAAGUUCACUGCCAUGUUCUAGCUGAGAGCUGCAAUAGCUCAAAUUGAAGAGGCAAAAUGGGUGAUAGCAAUUUGAUGUUCCAUGAGAAGAUUCCACAGUAAGUGGACAAGAGAGAAACAUCAUAGGCCAUGUGGCUUGCAAUGUGUUCAGGCAACAUUCAUAUCUUUGAAAGACUACAACAACCAUGUUAGAUAGGCUUACGAUGGCUUCUUCCAACUUCUGAAUCUAAACUUCUGCAAGUCUGGAACUCUAUAUUUCGUCAAUAUGUUUCUCUCUUCCUUUCCAUGUUUCUUUAUAUGAUCAAUUUUCCAAUAGAUUCUCCUUUGGCCAAUUUUUUUCCUCGUUCUCUUUACCCCUUGCCGCUUCGCAUGGAUGUAAAAGACAGAUUUUGUUUUUGGUUUUUUUGUUUGUCCUUUUGGACAAAGUUUGGUUUAGUCAUGGUGCUAACUUCAUGAGCA